GUAUCAGAAUCCGAUGCCACUGGCUCUUCUGAUGAUGGGUCUGAGGGUUCAAGUUCAACAGAUGAUUCAGACUCGGGAUCAGAGUCUGAAUCGAUUUCUGAAAGUGACAGAGAUCGGAGACAUCGAAAGCGAAGGAGGCACUGAUGAUAGAUAACAGCCUCAAAUGAAGUUCCUGCUGAGGUUAGGUCAUCCUGUCUACCCUGGAAAUAUGUACGAGUGGAGAUGUAUUCAUUUGUUUUUUCUGAUGAGCUCCUGUUAAAAUAUUUACGAGUUGAGGUUGUGAGACGUGUUCAUUUACUUUGUCUGAUGAAUUCUUGUAUAUGUUGUGGUCUCUAAGUUUUAUAUGCUUCUCAAGGAUUUUAGAAGUAGCCAAUAGUUACUUUGGGUGUCCACUCAUCUCUUAAACUCACAUUUGUAAAAAAUAAAAAUAAAAAACAAUAUACCCGAUAAAAUAAAAUAACCAAAAUAUCCUUAAAAGAUUCAAGGAGGUAAUUUGAUC
RNAcentral lists this long non-coding RNA (499 nucleotides) under Amborella trichopoda. Its description in RNAcentral is "long non-coding RNA (ATRI_LNC001122)". The record is from RNAcentral. Lineage: Eukaryota; Viridiplantae; Streptophyta; Magnoliopsida; Amborellales; Amborellaceae.